Long non-coding RNA from Marmota flaviventris (yellow-bellied marmot), 381 nucleotides. RefSeq lists it as uncharacterized. The record is from RefSeq and is a predicted model, not a curated record. Lineage: Eukaryota; Metazoa; Chordata; Mammalia; Rodentia; Sciuridae.
GUGGCCCCUUACGGGGAGCCCCGGGACACUCGGGGGUCGGUUUGAGGUGCUAAGGGAACACAGCACCAGGCAACCUGCAAGAACAACCAAUCAGGUACCAACAGACCAGCAGUGAUGGUGCCUCAUUCACCUGUCAAUCAGCGAGGUUUCCUGACCAAUCCUGGAAGGACAUGGAUCUCAGCGAGAUCCCCCAACCAACCCCUGGAGGACAAGGGACUCUAAAAACCUCCCUUUCCUGUCCCAAGCCCUCCCUUCCUGCCCUAAACCCAAUAAUAUUCCAAUCUGGCUGAGCAGGGGUGCGAUUCUCCCGACCCGCUCUGCUGGACUGGAGGGUCUCGCUGGGGAGUGAAUCUCAAUAAAGCCUUGUUCAGCUGCUUUUAA